Astyanax mexicanus (Mexican tetra) is the source of this 119-nucleotide ribosomal RNA. The record is from Ensembl. Lineage: Eukaryota; Metazoa; Chordata; Actinopteri; Characiformes; Acestrorhamphidae.
GCUUAUCGUCACACUACCCUGAGAACGCCCGAUCUCGUCUGAUCUCGGAAGCUAAGCAGAGUUUGGCCUGUUUAGUACUUGGAUGGGAGACCACCUGGGAAUACAAAGUGCUGUAAGCU